GGUAACCCCAAAGGCAGCUCUUGAGGAAGGCAUGGAAACUGCCUUACCUCCCCUUUGCAGCCACAAAAGAGCAGUUCUCUUUUGAAUGGCCCCACACUCCUGCUUCUCCCCUUGCCUGCUGCCUUCAACCAGGCAGCUGGAAUGCAGUCCUAGACCACAGAGGGUCGGGCUGGGGCCCUGCGUGUUGCAGAAAAGGAGAGAAGCCAAAAAAUGGGAUGGAAUGUGCUCAAGGUCUCCUGAAGGUUUGGGGCAAGAAGGCCCAUGUCAAAAACCCAGUCUCAGCUUCUCAGCUUCCCCUUGUCAUUUCUCAGAGUCUGCAGAAGGGUUUUGUUUAGGGGUCCAGCCCCCCGGGCAGGCCACCGACCAGCCCAUUACAGGCUCUCCCAGGCACUGGAGUUCUGUUCCCUAAAUAAUGUUAUCAUUUAGACGGCAGCCCAAAUUGCAGAGGGGUGCAAAGCCACUGCACUUCCUCCUAGGCCAUCCAAGGCAGGAGUCAGCUAAUCACUCAUGCCUGGCUGGUUCAUGAAUAUUAAACCCAUCUCUCUCGCCAGUGCAUUUCAGUGGUCUCCAGGGAAGAGAAAGAUUGAGAAACUGAGGUCCAGGAAGUCAUGAGCCUAAAGGGCCACAUCCUUGGUGGGAGAAGCUGCAGCCCAGAUGGACUAAGAUAUCAGAGAAAGGGACUCGCAGAGACGGAGCAUCUACCGGAGAAGGUGGCCCAUGUCUAGGGCUGAGACUGGAUUGUUGGUCCACGUCAGGCGUCAGGAAAGCUGACGAGCACAUUCCUGAACCACUACAGCCUCAGGUUCAUGCAAACAGAGCUAACAGUGGCUUGGCCUCCCUGCCUGACCCUCUACCUCCGCUCUUGGAUGAAGGCAUGUGUGUUUGUAUUUCCCAAGGCUCAGCCCUGCACAGUGGGGAGCCCAGCUGGAUCCUUGAUGCCACAAAGACAACCAAUUGGUUCACACAGCCGGCGUGGAAUGCUCUCAGCUGCCAUUUCCUCCUCUCAGCUUUGGCACAACGAGGCUAAAAAUGACUAUUUCACAGGGCUUUUGUGAAGAUUAAAUAACAUAUAUCUC
Homo sapiens (human) is the source of this 1076-nucleotide long non-coding RNA. The record is from Ensembl. Lineage: Eukaryota; Metazoa; Chordata; Mammalia; Primates; Hominidae.